AACCUCCACAAUGCGCGAAAGCGUGAUGGGGGGAUCCCGAGUGCUUACAUUUAUUGUAAGCUUUUGCCAAGGGCAAACACCUUGGAGAAUAAGUGGUGGGUAAGACCGGUGCCAGCAGCCGCGGUAACCCCGGCGCCACAAGUGGCAUUCUUGUAUUUGGCCUAAAGCAUUCGUAGCCGGUUUGGAAAAUCCUUUGUGAAAUCGUUGAACUCAAUACAACGGCAUGCAGGGGACACUUCCAAGCUUGAGACUGGGAGGAGUUGGGGGUAUUCCUAGGGGAGCGGUUAAAUGUGAUAAUCCUAGGAAGACUACCUGUGGCGAAGGCGCCCAACUAGAACAGGUCUGACGGUGAGGGAUGAAAGCUAGGGGAGCGAUCCGGAUUAGAUACCCGAGUAGUCCUAGCUGUAAACUCUGCGAGCUAGGUGUCGCAUAUUCUACGCGAAUAUGCGGUGUCGAAACGAAGGUGCUAAGCUCGCCGCCUGGGAAGUACGGUCGCAAGACUGAAACUUAAAGGAAUUGGCGGGGGAAUACACCAGCGGUGCGGCGUGCGGUUUAAUCUAACUCAACGCAGAACACCUCACUAGAAGCGACGGCAGGAUGAAGGCCAGUCUGAAGGGCUUGCCUGACGAGCCGAGAGGUAGUGCAUGGCCGUCGUCAGCUCGUGUCGUAAGAUGUCCAGUUAAGUCUGGCAACGAGCAAGACCUGUAUCUAUAAUUGCUAACGGGCCCUUCGGGGUGACUGUGCACAUUAUAGGGACUGCCCUCGUAAGGGGGAGGAAGGUGCAGGCAGCGGUAGGUCUGUAUGCUCCGAAUCUUCUAGGCUACACGCGCGCAACAGUGGUAAAGACAAUGGGAUGCAACACCGAAAGGUGAAGCUAAUCCUCGAAACUUUAUCGUAGUUUAGAUUGUGGGUUGCAACUCACCCACAUGACAACGGAAUCGCUAGUAAUCAGACUUCAUCAUAGUCUGGGGGAAUAUGUCCCUG
This 984-nucleotide ribosomal RNA is filed under the name uncultured euryarchaeote. RNAcentral's name for it is "bacterial SSU rRNA". It matches the Rfam family "Archaeal small subunit ribosomal RNA", at positions 345 to 1332 of the family's 1478-position model. Lineage: Archaea; Methanobacteriati; Methanobacteriota. The record is from RNAcentral.